UGGGGAAUAUUGGACAAUGGGCGAAAGCCUGAUCCAGCAAUGCCGCGUGAGUGAUGAAGGCCUUAGGGUUGUAAAGCUCUUUUACCAGGGACGAUAAUGACGGUACCUGGAGAAUAAGCCCCGGCAAACUUCGUGCCAGCAGCCGCGGUAAUACGAAGGGGGCUAGCGUUGUUCGGAAUUACUGGGCGUAAAGCGCACGUAGGCGGAUUGUUAAGUCAGAGGUGAAAUCCCGGAGCUCAACUUCGGAACUGCCUUUGAUACUGGCAAUCUCGAGUCCGGAAGAGGUUAGUGGAAUUCCCAGUGUAGAGGUGAAAUUCGUAGAUAUUGGGAAGAACACCAGUGGCGAAGGCGGCUAACUGGUCCGGUACUGACGCUGAGGUGCGAAAGCGUGGGGAGCAAACAGGAUUAGAUACCCAGGUAGUCCCUGAGCGGGCUGGCAAGGCGCAU
Molecule: ribosomal RNA, 447 nt
Filed under: uncultured bacterium
Lineage: Bacteria
Description: bacterial SSU rRNA
Rfam family: Bacterial small subunit ribosomal RNA
Source: RNAcentral